GACGAACGCUGGCGGCGUGCUUAACACAUGCAAGUCGAACGGAGUUACGUAUGAAGUAUUUCGGUACGGACUAUGUAACUUAGUGGCGAACGGGUGAGUAACACGUGGGCAACCUGCCCUUAACCGGGGGAUAACAUUGUGAAAACAGUGCUAAUACCGCAUAACAGAGUAUCGGGCAUCCGAUAUUUUUAAAAGGAGCAAUCCGGUUUAGGAUGGGCCCGCGUCCAAUUAGCUAGUUGGUGAGGUAACGGCUCACCAAGGCUACGAUUGGUAGCCGAACUGAGAGGUUGAUCGGCCACAUUGGGACUGAGACACGGCCCAGACUCCUACGGGAGGCAGCAGUGGGGAAUAUUGGGCAAUGGGCGAAAGCCUGACCCAGCGACGCCGCGUGAAGGAUGAAGGUCUUCGGAUUGUAAACUUCUUUGAUCAGGGAAGAAAGAAAUGACGGUACCUGAAGAACAAGCCACGGCUAACUACGUGCCAGCAGCCGCAGUAAAAUCACGUGUA
This 507-nucleotide ribosomal RNA is filed under the name uncultured bacterium. Its description in RNAcentral is "bacterial SSU rRNA". It matches the Rfam family "Bacterial small subunit ribosomal RNA", at positions 28 to 531 of the family's 1533-position model. The record is from RNAcentral.